GACGAACGCUGGCGGCGUGCUUAACACAUGCAAGUCGAGCGGUAAGGCCCUCGGGUACGACGAGCGGCGAACGGGUGGAGUAACACGUGGGUGACCUGCCUCUAGCUCUGGGAGUAAGCCUGGGAAACGUAGGGUCGUAAUACCGGAUAUGACUCCAUGACGCAUGUUGUGGGGUGGAAAGCCUUGUGCGGCUAGGGAUGGGCCCGCGGCCUAUCAGCUUGUUGGUGGGGUGAUGGCCUACCAAGGCGACGACGGGUAGCCGGCCUGAGAGGGCGACCGGCCACACUGGGACUGAGACACGG
Molecule: ribosomal RNA, 302 nt
Filed under: uncultured bacterium
Lineage: Bacteria
Description: bacterial SSU rRNA
Rfam family: Bacterial small subunit ribosomal RNA
Source: RNAcentral